Molecule: ribosomal RNA, 311 nt
Filed under: uncultured bacterium
Lineage: Bacteria
Description: bacterial SSU rRNA
Rfam family: Bacterial small subunit ribosomal RNA
Source: RNAcentral
GACGAACGCUGGCGGCGUGCUUAACACAUGCAAGUCGAGCGGUAAGGCCCUUUCGGGGUACACGAGCGGCGAACGGGUGAGUAACACGUGGGUGACCCUGCCUUUAGCUCUGGGAUAAGCCUGGGAAACUGGGUCUAAUACCGGAUAUGACCCUAUGGCGCAUGUUGUGGGGUGGAAAAGCCUUGUGCGGCUAGGGAUGGGCCCGCGGCCUAUCAGCUUGUUGGUGGGUGAUGGCCUACCAAGGCGACGACGGGUAGCCGGCCUGAGAGGGCGACCGGCCACACUGGGACUGAGACACGGCCCAGACUCCU